UACGUAGGGUGCAAGCGUUAAUCGGAAUUACUGGGCGUAAAGCGUGCGCAGGCGGUUUUGUAAGACAGUGGUGAAAUCCCCGGGCUCAACCUGGGAACUGCCAUUGUGACUGCAAAGCUAGAGUGCGGCAGAGGGGGAUGGAAUUCCGCGUGUAGCAGUGAAAUGCGUAGAUAUGCGGAGGAACACCGAUGGCGAAGGCAAUCCCCUGGGCCUGCACUGACGCUCAUGCACGAAAGCGUGGGGAGCAAACAGGAUUAGAAACCCGGGUAGU
RNAcentral lists this ribosomal RNA (271 nucleotides) under uncultured bacterium. RNAcentral describes it as "partial 16S ribosomal RNA". It matches the Rfam family "Bacterial small subunit ribosomal RNA", at positions 524 to 794 of the family's 1533-position model. The record is from RNAcentral.